GUAGGUGAACCUGCGGAAGGAUCAUUACAAUUCAGUAGCUUGCUACUGUCAGGAGGUGCUGUAAGCCCGCAUAGUUUAAUUACUGAUGAGCGGCAGGCCCUCUAUCUGUACCCUUGUCUUUUGCGCACUCAUGUUUCCUCGGCGGGCUUGCCCGCCGAUUGGACAAAACUAUAACCUUUUUAAUUUUCAAUCAGCGUCUGAAAAAACUUAAUAAUUACAACUUUCAACAACGGAUCUCUUGGUUCUG
RNAcentral lists this unclassified non-coding RNA (247 nucleotides) under rhizosphere metagenome. Its description in RNAcentral is "partial ribosomal RNA internal transcribed spacer region". The record is from RNAcentral.